AUUGAACGCUGGCGGCAUGCCUUACACAUGCAAGUCGAACGGCAGCACGGGUGCUUGCACCUGGUGGCGAGUGGCGAACGGGUGAGUAAUACAUCGGAACGUACCUUAUCGUGGGGGAUAACGCAGCGAAAGUUGCGCUAAUACCGCAUACGCCCUGAGGGGGAAAGCGGGGGACCGUAAGGCCUCGCGCGAUUAGAGCGGCCGAUGUCUGAUUAGCUAGUUGGUGGGGUAAAGGCCUACCAAGGCGACGAUCAGUAGCUGGUCUGAGAGGACGAUCAGCCACACUGGGAAUGGGACACGGCCCAGACUCCUACGGGAGGCAGCAGUGGGGAAGAUUGGACAAUGGGGGCAACCCUGAUCCAGCAAUGCCGCGUGUGUGAAGAAGGCCUGAGGGUUGUAAAGCACUUUCAGUGGGGAGGAGGUUUGGUUGGUUAAGAGCUGACUGAAUGGACGUUACCCACAGAAGAAGCACCGGCUAACUCCGUGCCAGCCGCCGCGGUAA
RNAcentral lists this ribosomal RNA (502 nucleotides) under uncultured bacterium. Its description in RNAcentral is "partial 16S ribosomal RNA". It matches the Rfam family "Bacterial small subunit ribosomal RNA", at positions 29 to 523 of the family's 1533-position model. The record is from RNAcentral.